AAAUAUGCCAAAACUUCAAAUAUUAAACUCCGUACAUCAUCAGUUUCAUUAGUUCAGUUCUUCCCUUUCCUCUGUCCCCUAUUUGUACCAGAGCUUGCGAAAGCCAUUGAAGAGCUAUAGUUUUUGCGUGUUUUUGGCCAAUUGUGUUUCUUUAUACAAUAUCUAAAUCCAAGUUUUUCCUUUCUCAAUAUUACUUUCUAGUUUGUAAUUUUGUCAAACCCUAAUUUGUUUGUUAAUUUCAUUGGUGGUCCGGCGGUGGUUAAGGGAGGCGAUAACAACGGCUUCAACGCAUCCUCUUAACGGGAGCUUAGGAGCUUCAAAGAAGAUCUGAACAUUAGUGUUUCUUGAUCAAGCUACCAAUAUUCAGGAAAAUGUCAAUCAUUCCAACUUCAUCAGAACAAGAUCAACAAGAAAAUGAGAUUCAACAACCACCACCAAGGUUGACUUAUCGUGAAAAGCGAAGGAUUGACCAAGCUGAGCUUCGACAAAAAUUCCCUGAUCGUAAGAGGCGUGGCCCUACUAGGGGUUUAAAAUAUGCUUCCAAAAGAGCAAGAAAUCCAGAAGAAAAGAUUACGUUAACUUUUAUGGAUGAGCUUUGACGUGUGGUUGGUGAAAAGGCAAAUGAGUUCAUAUGUGAUUGUAGCAAUUGGGUGGAAGAGUUUUGUCCUUUGAAUGCAUUGAAUUGGGCUAAAAUGGAUCCUGAUGCGAAGAAAAGUUUAUAUGACAAGAUUUUGAUGAUUUACUAGGCAAAAUUCAAUUUACGUGAAAAGAUUGGUGGUGCGGACGCGACUGAUGCAUUGAGCUUUCAAUAGUAUAUAUUAUAUAGGCAUUGGAGGUUUAGACUCAAAGAAAAAUACUAUAGAGGCAAAAUAAAGGCAGAGGCUAGAGACAAUAGACAAUAGACCUUCAACUAUUGAUCCGAUAAAGUGGGAUUGGUUUGUUUAUGAGUAUUGGAGUUCCCCAAAACAAGAGGCCAUUAGCAAAGUGAACACAACAAAUAAACUGAAGUUAACUGAAACACCAGCUAAUGGUGCAAAGUCCACAUCAAGAAUUUUCUAUGAUAUGAUUAACGAGCCACCAAUUGUUGCCAAUCAAGUCGAAGGGUCAUCUGAACAUGCUGAAGUGCAACAAGAUCCCAUCUAUGUGAGAUUAUAUGAGAAGACAAGGAAAUUGCCCAGGAAUAUUAUUGUUGUUCUGUCUUUCAUGUUACUAUUUAAAUAGUUAUGCCUACAUUAGCCUUAUCUCAUACUUAAUAUGCAUAAUUUUUUGAACUGAUUUCAUUGAAUAGGCAUAUAAAAAAGGAUGGAAGUACUAUGUGGGAACCAAAUGCUGAAAAGAACUAUGAAGAACUCAAAAGGCUUCACGAAACUGAAAUCGCAGAACAUGGUGAGGACACACUGAGUGUAAAAGAUGCUUAUAUGCAGGUAUUAAAACCUAAAUCUGGAUAUGUGAGAGGACUUUGUCCUGGAGCUUGACCACCUAAAAAGUUAGAAUCCAAGGAGAUGAUAUGGAUAGGGUUCAACUCUCUACUCAAGUUCACACACUAAAUGCGUCAAAUGAAGACCUUAGAGCAUCUAAUGAACAACUUAAAGCAUCAAAUGAGGAGCUCAAAGCAGAAUUUUCAAGAAUCAACAAGGAAGCCAUUGAACGUGAAAAUAAACUAAGAGAAGAUAUGCUAAAAAUGUUUGAGGAAAUGAGGAGACUUAACUGUUUCUCGUUUAUAUGUACUGUGAUCAAAUUUGGGUUGUUGCCGCAACGCUGCUCGAUGUUGCUGCAAUGCUUCUGCAACGAUGUGGGGCUUCCGCAACACAACUGUUUGUGGUGCUGCCGCAAUGCAGCAGUUGCUGCUGUGGUGCUGCCGCAACGCUGCUGUUGCAGCUGCAGUGCUGCCGGAACGCUGCUGUAGGUGCUGCACUGCUGCCGCAACGCUGCUGUUGCUGCUGCACUGCUGCCGCAACGCUGCUGUUGCUGCUGCACUGCUGCCCCAACUCUGCUGUUGCUGCUGCACUGCUGCCACAACUCUGCUGUUGUAGUUUUAGGAGCUUUUUCCACGUGCAGCAGUGUAUUCACUAAGCUUGAUAUGUGUAUAUCUGAUAUGUAGAUGAUUUACAUUGCAAGUGUAGGAAGCAUACAUUAUUAUUAAUGUCAAAUUUGUCUAAUUGACAAAGAACAAACAUGCAUUACAUUUCAAACCAUUUAGCGUUCAUUAGAAAAAAA
Chenopodium quinoa (quinoa) is the source of this 2217-nucleotide long non-coding RNA. RefSeq lists it as uncharacterized. NCBI's taxonomy places the organism in Eukaryota, Viridiplantae, Streptophyta, Magnoliopsida, Caryophyllales, Amaranthaceae. The transcript is spliced from 8 exons. The record is from RefSeq and is a predicted model, not a curated record.